GUUAGCUGGUGGUUCUUGUUCGCGAUUGGGGCUGAGAACAGAGCGCUGGAAAGACUGUUCAUCUUCGCUAUCAGGUUUUCCCGAAAAAGAGACUGAGUUUUCAUCUUCAUAAGAAUAAGAAGAGCUUCGUGAAGGAUCCUCCUUCUCCUCUUUGUGCAAGGGAACUUCCUCUAUGAUGAGUUUGAGGUUUAUGCUUUGAGGAUUCACAACUCUUCCUAUGUCAGCCAAGAUAGUGUUGAUGAAGCUCUCACUCCUAACAAAGCAAGGAAUGCCAAAGAUUGAGAUCCAUGCCACACUUGCACACUCCGCAUCCGAUUCUCUCCAAUCUCUAAUCUCUUUGAACCACAGAUUCUUCCAUUCUCCUUCAUCAGCUAACAGGGUCUCCAAGUCUCCUUCAACAUUCUCCUCCAAAAGACAUAGAUUAGGGCCCAAAGCAGUUGUUGUGAUAGAGAAGAUGCCCUCUUCAAGGAGGCUUUGAGCAACGCAAAAAGCAAGUCCAGGGCUUCGGGUAAUACCAACUUUAGCUUUGUUGUAUCUUAAAUUUUUAGAAUCUGAUGAGGUGUAGUAAAAGGAUUUACAGACUUCCUUGUUAUCUAUAGAAUCCUUAACAGUAGCCCCUUUGAUUACAUCCGCAAAAUCUUGAUGGCCCUGAACCUCCCGUCUUGUUGGUUGUGAAAUUCUUGAGGUUCUUCUCAUCCUUCACAUUGAUGAAUCUGACAAAUCCAAAUCUGCUACCUCUCCAGUCUCUCUUUGGAGGUAUUACAAUCUCCUCCACCAAACCUAAAUCCUUGAAUUCCAUGAACAGGUGUUUAGCAUUCCAUUUCUCCCCGAAAUCAGUUAUGAAAAUGGUUGUCACCCUGCUUCUAUCCACACCAUUUUCUUUCUUCAAAAUGUCCCAUUUGGCU
This is a long non-coding RNA of Vicia villosa (hairy vetch), 905 nucleotides long. RefSeq lists it as uncharacterized. NCBI's taxonomy places the organism in Eukaryota, Viridiplantae, Streptophyta, Magnoliopsida, Fabales, Fabaceae. The transcript is spliced from 3 exons. The record is from RefSeq and is a predicted model, not a curated record.